GGCAACGGAUAUCUCGGCUCUUGCAUCGAUGAAGAACGUAGCAAAAUGUGAUACUUGGUGUGAAUUGCAGAAUCCCGUGAACCAUCGAGUCUUUGAAUGCAAGUUGCGCCUGAAGCCAUUAGGUUGAAGGCACGUCUGCCUGGGCGUC
RNAcentral lists this ribosomal RNA (148 nucleotides) under Rhododendron griersonianum. RNAcentral describes it as "5.8S ribosomal RNA". It matches the Rfam family "5.8S ribosomal RNA". Rfam says of the family: 5.8S ribosomal RNA (5.8S rRNA) is a component of the large subunit of the eukaryotic ribosome. It is transcribed by RNA polymerase I as part of the 45S precursor that also contains 18S and 28S rRNA. The record is from RNAcentral. Lineage: Eukaryota; Viridiplantae; Streptophyta; Magnoliopsida; Ericales; Ericaceae.